UACGGGGGGGGCAAGCGUUGUUCGGAAUUACUGGGCGUAAAGGGCUCGUAGGCGGCCAACUAAGUCAGACGUGAAAUCCCCAGGCUUAACCUGGGAACUGCGUCUGAUACUGGAUGGCUUGAAUUCGGGAGAGGGAUGCAGAAUUCCAGGUGUAGCGGUGAAAUGCGUAGAUAUCUGGAGGAGCACCGGUGGCGAAGGCGGCGAUCUGGCCCAACAUUGACACUGAGACCCGAAAGCGCGGGGAUCAAACAGG
This 253-nucleotide ribosomal RNA is filed under the name uncultured bacterium. Its description in RNAcentral is "partial 16S ribosomal RNA". It matches the Rfam family "Bacterial small subunit ribosomal RNA", at positions 524 to 776 of the family's 1533-position model. The record is from RNAcentral.